GACGAACGCUGGCGGCGUGCCUAACACAUGCAAGUCGAGCGGGGUUGAAGCGAGGGGUAACUCGAGUUUCUACCUAGCGGCGGACGGGUGAGUAACGCGUGGGCAACCUGCCUCAAGGACUGGGAUAACAGCUCGAAAGGGCUGCUAAUACCGGAUAUGCCUGUGGCCUCGCAUGGGGCUAUGAGCAAAGGGGAAACCCGCCUUGAGAUGGGCCCGCGUCCCAUCAGCUAGUUGGUGAGGUGAAGGCUCACCAAGGCGACGACGGGUAGCCGGCCUGAGAGGGUGACCGGCCACACUGGGACUGAGACACGGCCCAGACUCCUACGGGGGGGCAGCAGUGGGGAAUCUUGCACAAUGGGCGAAAGCCUGAUGCAGCGACGCCGCGUGAGCGAAGAAGGCCUUCGGGUUGUAAAGCACUUUGUCACGGGAAGAGGAAGGACGGUACCGUGCGAAUAAGCCUCGGCUAACUACGUGCCAGCAGCCGCGGUAAGUCUGUAGUCGU
RNAcentral lists this ribosomal RNA (502 nucleotides) under uncultured bacterium. RNAcentral describes it as "bacterial SSU rRNA". It matches the Rfam family "Bacterial small subunit ribosomal RNA", at positions 28 to 534 of the family's 1533-position model. The record is from RNAcentral.